RNAcentral lists this ribosomal RNA (578 nucleotides) under Acetobacteraceae bacterium AP46. Its description in RNAcentral is "bacterial SSU rRNA". It matches the Rfam family "Bacterial small subunit ribosomal RNA", at positions 339 to 934 of the family's 1533-position model. The record is from RNAcentral. Lineage: Bacteria; Pseudomonadati; Pseudomonadota; Alphaproteobacteria; Acetobacterales; Acetobacteraceae.
CUACGGGAGGCAGCAGUGGGGAAUAUUGGACAAUGGGGGGAACCCUGAUCCAGCAAUGCCGCGUGUGUGAAGAAGGUCUUCGGAUUGUAAAGCACUUUCACUAGGGAAGAUGAUGACGGUACCUAGAGAAGAAGCCCCGGCUAACUUCGUGCCAGCAGCCGCGGUAAUACGAAGGGGGCUAGCGUUGCUCGGAAUGACUGGGCGUAAAGGGCGCGUAGGCUGUUUGUACAGUCAGAUGUGAAAUCCCCGGGCUUAACCUGGGAACUGCAUUUGAUACGUGCAGACUAGAGUCCGAGAGAGGGUUGUGGAAUUCCCAGUGUAGAGGUGAAAUUCGUAGAUAUUGGGAAGAACACCGGUUGCGAAGGCGGCAACCUGGCUCGGAACUGACGCUGAGGCGCGAAAGCGUGGGGAGCGAACAGGAUUAGAUACCCUGGUAGUCCACGCUGUAAACGAUGUGUGCUGGAUGUUGGGUGAUUUUAUCAUUCAGUGUCGGAGCUAACGCGUUAAGCACACCGCCUGGGGAGUACNGCCGCAAGGUUGAAACUCAAAGGAAUUGACGGGGGCCCGCACAAAGGGUG